AGAGUUUGAUCCUGGCUCAGAACGAACGCUGGCGGCAGGCUUAACACAUGCAAGUUGAACGUGAUUUGCUGGGUGCUUGCACCGAGCAAUGAAAGUAGCGCACUGGUGAGUAACACGUGGGAACGUACCUUUUGGUGGGGAACAACAGUUGGAAACGACUGCUAAUACCGCAUAAGCCCUGAGGGGGAAAGAUUUAUCGCCGAAAGAACGGCCCGCGGAAGAUUAGGUAGUUGGUGGGGUAACGGCCUACCAAGCCGACGAUCUAUAGCUGGUCUGAGAGGACGAUCAGCCACAUUGGAACUGAGACACGGUCCAAACUCCUACGGGAGGCAGCAGUGAGGAAUAUUGGGCAAUGGAGGCAACUCUGACCCAGCCAUGCCGCGUGAGUGAAGAAGGUUUUCGGAUUGUAAAGCUCUUUCGGGUGUGACGAUGAUGACGGUAGCACCUAAAGAAGCCCCGGCUAACUUCGUGCCAGCAGCCGCGGUAAUACGAAGGGGGCAAGCGUUGUUCGGAAUUACUGGGCGUAAAGGGAGUGUAGGCGGUUAUGUAAGAUAGUGGUGAAAUCCCAGAGCUUAACUUUGGAAUUGCCAUUAUGACUAUGUGGCUAGAAUUACAGAGAGGAUAGUGGAAUACCCAGUGUAGAGGUGAAAUUCGUAGAUAUUGGGUAGAACACCAGUGGCGAAGGCGACUAUCUGGCUGUAUAUUGACGCUGAGGCUCGAAAGCAUGGGGAUCAAACAGGAUUAGAUACCCUGGUAGUCCAUGCUGUAAACGAUGAGUGCUUGUUGUCGGUAUUGUAUCGGUGACGAAGUUAACGCGUUAAGCACUCCGCCUGGGGAGUACGGUCGCAAGAUUAAAACUCAAAGGAAUUGACGGGGACCC
Molecule: ribosomal RNA, 880 nt
Filed under: bacterium
Lineage: Bacteria
Also listed under: 1 other name
Description: bacterial SSU rRNA
Rfam family: Bacterial small subunit ribosomal RNA
Source: RNAcentral